Gambusia affinis (western mosquitofish) is the source of this 1317-nucleotide long non-coding RNA. RefSeq lists it as uncharacterized. The transcript has 2 exons. The record is from RefSeq and is a predicted model, not a curated record. Lineage: Eukaryota; Metazoa; Chordata; Actinopteri; Cyprinodontiformes; Poeciliidae.
AGCAGCUUCUGAAAUACUCGGAUCAGUCCAUCUGGAACAAUCAUGGCAUGUUCAGAGUUACUUAAAUCCCAUUUCUCUUCCAUCCAGAUGCUCACUUCACCACAUCUUCCUCAAUGUACUUCCUGCUUUGUUAAUUUAAUCAUUCACAGUUUGUGUUAAACAGCGAGACAAGUGUACCCAGUAACGUGACCAGUGAGGGUAUAUCUCGAGUUGUUUAAUUUUUGUUUCUACAAACACAAGUUUGAUUUCCUGUGGUUCUGACCAGCUACAGUAUCUUCGUAUAAAAUUAUGGUUCCCUGUAAAGGCAGGGAAUCAAUCUUGUUAAAACCUGGUAAAACCGGACAUUAUUAUAAACCAGAUUAAGGUUCUGGUACAUGCUACUUGCAGUGAAACUGGUGCUAAAUGCAGAACUACGGAAGAAAUUGCCAUAAAAAUGGGUCAAAGGCAACUUUGGUCUCAUCAUUGGUUCUUCCUGAUUACUUUUUUGUUUCAUUUGCAUCCAUGCAAAUUAAACUGAUUCACAGUUGGAUAGUGAAUUGGACUAGCAGGGUAGUUCACUAAUUCCUUCCCCCUAAUUUUUUUAGCUGUGGUAGUGGGAGGGGUAGAGGUAUUAAAAGCAAUUAAUUAUCAAAUUUCUACUACAAAAGUGACAAAAGACCCUCCCUGUUUAAGCAACUUGUUCACGUAUCCAUAGCAUCUGCUUCAGUCCUUCAUUUCCCCGUCAGCGAGAGACAAAUGAAUAGAAAUGACUGCUUUGUGCUUUCAUGCAGCUGUCUCUCCAAGCGGCAUGAAACAUAUAUUUUUAGUCUCCCAUUUGUGAUUUUUGUAUCUGCAGAGCAGGGAGAGAAAAGGACACAGACACUUGAAUUGAGAAUUGCUGUGCUAAAACGCAACCCUUUUUUUUUCUCCCCGUAAGGCAGUCUGCUUGCUGUUUUCUGUUCUAGAAGGCACAAUUGGAAAGAUCAAUUUUAGGAAAGGGGCUUUUUUGAAAAAUGCCUUAGCUUUCAAAUAAAAAAUGGACGUUGUGUUAUGCAGAACGUAAGUGAAGUGUAACAGUAGCGACUUGUUAGGAUUGUUUUGUUAGUCGUAAUGGGGCAACAUCAAAUUUGUUUUUCUGUGUUCCUGCUGCAAAACAAGAAAAUCUUUUCUUGGCCCCAGCUUUCUGGACCCCCACCACUUCAGCUCUGCCCUGCGAGUGAGAGCACUUGACACGCCUGGGGCUCCUCACCUCCCUUUCCCCGCCUGUGUCUCCCCCUCGAGCUCGGUUCUCCUUGGCUGGAUGAAGGAGAUACAGAUUAAAUUAUUCUCUCCGUUCCA